This 454-nucleotide ribosomal RNA is filed under the name uncultured bacterium. RNAcentral describes it as "partial 16S ribosomal RNA". It matches the Rfam family "Bacterial small subunit ribosomal RNA", at positions 28 to 507 of the family's 1533-position model. The record is from RNAcentral.
GAUGAACGCUGACAGAAUGCUUAACACAUGCAAGUCAACUUGAACUUCGGUUUGGGUGGCGGACGGGUGAGUAACGCGUAAAGAACUUUCCUCACAGAUAGGGACAACAUUUGGAAACGAAUGCUAAUACCUGAUAUUAUGAUUAUAUGGCAUCGUAUAAUUAUGAAAGCUAUAUGCGCUGUGAGAGAGCUUUGCGUCCCAUUAGCUAGGUGGAAAGGUAACGGAUCACCAAGGCGAUGAUGGGUAGCCGGCCUGGGAGGGUGAUCGGCCACAAGGGGACUGAGAAACGGCCAUUACGCAUACGGGAGGCAGGAGUGGGGAAUAGUGGACAAUGGACCAAGAGUGUGAUCCAGCAAUUCGGUGUGCAAGAUGAAGUUUUUAGGAAUGAAAAGUGCUUUCAGUUGGGAAGAAAAAAAUGACGGUACCAACAGAAGAAGUGACGGCUAAAUACGUG